GGAGAAAUACUCAAGAGGCCGAAGAGGCCCCCCUGCUAAGGGGGUAGGUCGGGUAAUACCGGCGCGAGGGUUCAAAUCCCUCUUUCUCCGC
This 91-nucleotide transfer RNA is filed under the name Fusobacterium naviforme. RNAcentral describes it as "tRNA-Ser(gct)". It matches the Rfam family "tRNA". From Rfam's summary of the family: Transfer RNA (tRNA) molecules are approximately 80 nucleotides in length. Their secondary structure includes four short double-helical elements and three loops (D, anti-codon, and T loops). Lineage: Bacteria; Fusobacteriati; Fusobacteriota; Fusobacteriia; Fusobacteriales; Fusobacteriaceae. The record is from RNAcentral.